GCUUCAGUGGGGGCAGAGUUGGUUUUCUUCAUCAAGUCUGGUACAUAGCAGUGUUUUGGCUUUGGGAGUAAGAUGGUGAUGACAGUGCAGCAACGUUCCUUUCAGCUGUCGCUAAGCAGAGCUGCAUGGAGCCAAGGCCGUUCCAGUUCCUGGAAUCCUGCUUCCUUUAUAAAAGCUACUCCUUUUCUCACUGAUGUCAUCCUUUGAGAGUGUGUCAUAAAAGGAAAAGCCACCAAGCAGGAAGAACUGAUGACCUCUGCAGCCGGUCUCUUAUCUCCCUACUUCUUGCUUCCAGACAGCCAUUUCACACUGCAGCAGAUCAGUGUGCAAGCUAUGAACAAAAAGGGGCAAACUCACCUUUCCUGCCUUCCAUCCUCUAAGGUUCCCACCACCCCCUUCACAUCAGACAGAGCUAUUGUGCUACUACAUCAUAAAUCAGACAUCUACGGCAAAUCUGAAGAGGGCAGCUGGGUAGAAGUUAUCCAGAUCUGGUUCAGUGGCUGAGUACGGUGUUCUACAGCGGUUCAGUUCUGAAUGACGAUGCACUGACAAAGUAGAUGCAGCCAAAACAGUCUGUCAGAGCAGCCCUGGGUAACUUCAGCUGAUUGUGAACAAAAA
This is a long non-coding RNA of Coturnix japonica (Japanese quail), 618 nucleotides long. RefSeq lists it as uncharacterized. The record is from RefSeq and is a predicted model, not a curated record. NCBI's taxonomy places the organism in Eukaryota, Metazoa, Chordata, Aves, Galliformes, Phasianidae.